Molecule: ribosomal RNA, 1372 nt
Filed under: uncultured bacterium
Lineage: Bacteria
Description: bacterial SSU rRNA
Rfam family: Bacterial small subunit ribosomal RNA
Source: RNAcentral
GAUGAACGCUGGCGGCGUGCCUAAUACAUGCAAGUCGAGCGAACGGACGAGAAGCUUGCUUCUCUGAUGUUAGCGGCGGACGGGUGAGUAACACGUGGAUAACCUACCUAUAAGACUGGGAUAACUUCGGGAAACCGGAGCUAAUACCGGAUAAUAUUUUGAACCGCAUGGUUCAAAAGUGAAAGACGGUCUUGCUGUCACUUAUAGAUGGAUCCGCGCUGCAUUAGCUAGUUGGUAAGGUAACGGCUUACCAAGGCAACGAUGCAUAGCCGGCCUGAGAGGGUGAUCGGCCACACUGGAACUGAGACACGGUCCAGACUCCUACGGGAGGCAGCAGUAGGGAAUCUUCCGCAAUGGGCGAAAGCCUGACGGAGCAACGCCGCGUGAGUGAUGAAGGUCUUCGGAUCGUAAAACUCUGUUAUUAGGGAAGAACAUAUGUGUAAAGUACUGUGCACAUCUUGACGGUACCUAAUCAGAAAGCCACGGCUAACUACGUGCCAGCAGCCGCGGUAAUACGUAAGUGGCAAGCGUUAUCCGGAAUUAUUGGGCGUAAAGCGCGCGUAGGCGGUUUUUUAAGUCUGAUGUGAAAGCCCACGGCUCAACCGUGGAGGGUCAUUGGAAACUGGAAAACUUGAGUGCAGAAGAGGAAAGUGGAAUUCCAUGUGUAGCGGUGAAAUGCGCAGAGAUAUGGAGGAACACCAGUGGCGAAGGCGACUUUCUGGUCUGUAACUGACGCUGAUGUGCGAAAGCGUGGGGAUCAAACAGGAUUAGAUACCCUGGUAGUCCACGCCGUAAACGAUGAGUGCUAAGUGUUAGGGGGUUUCCGCCCCUUAGUGCUGCAGCUAACGCAUUAAGCACUCCGCCUGGGGAGUACGACCGCAAGGUUGAAACUCAAAGGAAUUGACGGGGACCCGCACAAGCGGUGGAGCAUGUGGUUUAAUUCGAAGCAACGCGAAGAACCUUACCAAAUCUUGACAUCCUUUGACAACUCUAGAGAUAGAGCCUUCCCCUUCGGGGGACAAAGUGACAGGUGGUGCAUGGUUGUCGUCAGCUCGUGUCGUGAGAUGUUGGGUUAAGUCCCGCAACGAGCGCAACCCUUAAGCUUAGUUGCCAUCAUUAAGUUGGGCACUCUAAGUUGACUGCCGGUGACAAACCGGAGGAAGGUGGGGAUGACGUCAAAUCAUCAUGCCCCUUAUGAUUUGGGCUACACACGUGCUACAAUGGACAAUACAAAGGGCAGCGAAACCGCGAGGUCAAGCAAAUCCCAUAAAGUUGUUCUCAGUUCGGAUUGUAGUCUGCAACUCGACUACAUGAAGCUGGAAUCGCUAGUAAUCGUAGAUCAGCAUGCUACGGUGAAUACGUUCCCGGGUCU